AGCUCCAAUAGCGUAUAUUAAAGUUGUUGCGGUUAAAAAGCUCGUAGUUGGAUUUCUGUCGAAGACGGUCGGUCCGCUCUAUGAGCGUGCAUCUGAUUCGGCUUUGGCAUCCUCGUGGGGAACGUAACUGUGCUUGAUUGCAUGGUGCGGAAUUCACGACUUUUACUUUGAGGAAAUUAGAGUGUUCACGGCAGGCAAGCGCCUUGAAUAUAUUAGCAUGGAAUAAUGCUGUAAGACCAUGGUAUUGCUGUGUUGGUUUCUAUCACCUAAGGUAAUGAUAAACAGGGAUAGUUGGGGGCAUUCGUAUUUAACUGUCAGAGGUGAAAUUCUUGGAUUUGUUAAAGACGAACGACUGCGAAAGCAUUUGCCAAGGAUGUUUUCA
RNAcentral lists this ribosomal RNA (382 nucleotides) under uncultured eukaryote. RNAcentral's name for it is "SSU rRNA". It matches the Rfam family "Eukaryotic small subunit ribosomal RNA", at positions 587 to 972 of the family's 1831-position model. The record is from RNAcentral.